This 1075-nucleotide ribosomal RNA is filed under the name Photobacterium sp. RNAcentral describes it as "bacterial SSU rRNA". It matches the Rfam family "Bacterial small subunit ribosomal RNA", at positions 86 to 1155 of the family's 1533-position model. Lineage: Bacteria; Pseudomonadati; Pseudomonadota; Gammaproteobacteria; Vibrionales; Vibrionaceae. The record is from RNAcentral.
GGGCGGCGAGCGGCGGACGGGUGAGUAAUGCCUGGGAAUAUGCCCUGAUGUGGGGGAUAACCAUUGGAAACGAUGGCUAAUACCGCAUAAUCUCUUCGGAGCAAAGAGGGGGACCUUCGGGCCUCUCGCGUCAGGAUUAGCCCAGGUGGGAUUAGCUAGUUGGUGGGGUAACGGCUCACCAAGGCGACGAUCCCUAGCUGGUCUGAGAGGAUGAUCAGCCACACUGGAACUGAGACACGGUCCAGACUCCUACGGGAGGCAGCAGUGGGGAAUAUUGCACAAUGGGGGAAACCCUGAUGCAGCCAUGCCGCGUGUGUGAAGAAGGCCUUCGGGUUGUAAAGCACUUUCAGUCGUGAGGAAGGGUGUGCAGUUAAUAGCUGUCCAUUUUGACGUUAGCGACAGAAGAAGCACCGGCUAACUCCGUGCCAGCAGCCGCGGUAAUACGGAGGGUGCGAGCGUUAAUCGGAAUUACUGGGCGUAAAGCGCAUGCAGGCGGUCUGUUAAGCAAGAUGUGAAAGCCCGGGGCUCAACCUCGGAACAGCAUUUUGAACUGGCAGACUAGAGUCUUGUAGAGGGGGGUAGAAUUUCAGGUGUAGCGGUGAAAUGCGUAGAGAUCUGAAGGAAUACCGGUGGCGAAGGCGGCCCCCUGGACAAAGACUGACGCUCAGAUGCGAAAGCGUGGGGAGCAAACAGGAUUAGAUACCCUGGUAGUCCACGCCGUAAACGAUGUCUACUUGGAGGUUGUGGCCUUGAGCCGUGGCUUUCGGAGCUAACGCGUUAAGUAGACCGCCUGGGGAGUACGGUCGCAAGAUUAAAACUCAAAUGAAUUGACGGGGGCCCGCACAAGCGGUGGAGCAUGUGGUUUAAUUCGAUGCAACGCGAAGAACCUUACCUACUCUUGACAUCCAGAGAACUUUCCAGAGAUGGAUUGGUGCCUUCGGGAACUCUGAGACAGGUGCUGCAUGGCUGUCGUCAGCUCGUGUUGUGAAAUGUUGGGUUAAGUCCCGCAACGAGCGCAACCCUUAUCCUUGUUUGCCAGCACUUCAUGGUGGGAAACUCCAGGGAAAACUGCCGG